Molecule: ribosomal RNA, 448 nt
Filed under: Enterobacter mori
Lineage: Bacteria; Pseudomonadati; Pseudomonadota; Gammaproteobacteria; Enterobacterales; Enterobacteriaceae
Description: partial 23S ribosomal RNA
Rfam family: Bacterial large subunit ribosomal RNA
Source: RNAcentral
GGUUAAGCGACUAAGCGUACACGGUGGAUGCCCUGGCAGUCAGAGGCGAUGAAGGACGUGCUAAUCUGCGAAAAGCGCCGGCGAGGUGAUAUGAACCUUUGACCCGGCGAUGUCCGAAUGGGGAAACCCAGUGUGUUCCGACACACUAUCGUUAACUGAAUACAUAGGUUAACGAGGCGAACCGGGGGAACUGAAACAUCUAAGUACCCCGAGGAAAAGAAAUCAACCGAGAUUCCCCCAGUAGCGGCGAGCGAACGGGGAGCAGCCCAGAGUCUGAAUCAGCUUGUGUGUUAGUGGAAGCGUCUGGAAAGUCGCACGGUACAGGGUGAUAGUCCCGUACACGAAAGCACACAUGCUGUGAACUCGAAGAGUAGGGCGGGACACGUGGUAUCCUGUCUGAAUAUGGGGGGACCAUCCUCCAAGGCUAAAUACUCCUGACUGACCGAUA